RNAcentral lists this ribosomal RNA (422 nucleotides) under uncultured bacterium. RNAcentral describes it as "bacterial SSU rRNA". It matches the Rfam family "Bacterial small subunit ribosomal RNA", at positions 358 to 773 of the family's 1533-position model. The record is from RNAcentral.
GGAAUUGUUCGCAAUGGGCGCAAGCCUGACGACGCAACGCCGCGUGGAGGAUGAAGGUCUUCGGAUCGUAAACUCCUGUUGCCCGGGACGAAACGCUCCGACCUAACACGUCGGAGCCUGACGGUACCGGGUGAGGAAGCCCCGGCUAACUCUGUGCCAGCAGCCGCGGUAAUACAGAGGGGGCAAGCGUUGUUAGGAAUUACUGGGCGUAAAGGGCUCGUAGGCGGCCAACUAAGUCGGAUGUGAAAUCCCCAGGCUCAACCUGGGAACUGCAUCCGAUACUGGAUGGCUUGGAUUCGGGAGAGGGAUGCAGAAUUCCAGGUGUAGCGGUGAAAUGCGUAGAUAUCUGGAGGAAUACCGGUGGCGAAGGCGGCAUCCUGGACCGACAUUGACGCUGAGGAGCGAAAGCUAGGGGAGCAAAC